AGUGAACGCUGGCGGUAGGCCUAACACAUGCAAGUCGAACGGCAGCACAGGAGAGCUUGCUCUCUGGGUGGCGAGUGGCGGACGGGUGAGGAAUACAUCGGAAUCUGCCCAGUCGUGGGGGAUAACGUAGGGAAACUUACGCUAAUACCGCAUACGACCUUCGGGUGAAAGAGGGGGAUCGCAAGACCUCUCGCGAUUGGAUGAGCCGAGGUCGGAUUAGCUAGUUGGCGGGGUAAUGGCCCACCAAGGCGACGAUCCGUAGCUGGUCUGAGAGGAUGAUCAGCCACACUGGAACUGAGACACGGUCCAGACUCCUACGGGAGGCAGCAGUGGGGAAUAUUGGACAAUGGGCGCAAGCCUGAUCCAGCCAUACCGCGUGGGGGAAGAAGGCCUUCGGGUUGUAAAGCCCUUUUGUUGGGAAAGAAAUCUUUCAGGCUAAUACCCUGGGAGGAUGACGGUACCCAAAGAAUAAGCACCGGCUAACUUCGUG
RNAcentral lists this ribosomal RNA (490 nucleotides) under uncultured bacterium. Its description in RNAcentral is "partial 16S ribosomal RNA". It matches the Rfam family "Bacterial small subunit ribosomal RNA", at positions 29 to 507 of the family's 1533-position model. The record is from RNAcentral.